GAUGAAGAACGUAGCGAAAUGCGAUAAGUAGUGUGAAUUGCAGAAUUCCGUGAAUCAUCGAAUCUUUGAACGCACAUUGCGCCUUCUGGUAUUCCGGAAGGCAUGCCUGUUCGAGAGUCAUUAACAACCGUUUCGAUCCCUUUCUUUCAGAAAUUACAAAGAGGAAAAGGGUUUGGUUAUGGUGGAGGAGGGAAAGGGAGCGUUUAGCCUGUAAAAAAAGAGGCUGGGUUCCGCCUCCCCCCCAAAAUUGUACAGGCGGUCGUGUGCGCCCACGCAUCGAGGUGUUGUAAAAGCUGCCACGGCACUUUUCACCUGUGCAGUGCGAGAUUGGCCAGCCGGUUUAAAAACCCCUCCAAACAAUCAAAGGUUGACCUCGGAUCAGGUAGGGAUACCCGCUGAACUUAAGCAUAUCAAUAAGCGGAGGA
This 425-nucleotide unclassified non-coding RNA is filed under the name soil metagenome. Its description in RNAcentral is "partial contains 5.8S ribosomal RNA, internal transcribed spacer 2, and large subunit ribosomal RNA". The stretch from base 1 to 120 matches the Rfam family "5.8S ribosomal RNA", at positions 35 to 154 of the family's 154-position model. The record is from RNAcentral.